GAGGAUCACUUUGGAGUUGCUAAGCUCUGCAUUGCCAUUGGCUGCACUCUUUGUGGGGCUGUUUUUGCAAAAGGCAUGCCCAGCACGUCUACAGUGCUGGCAGGCCAGGGCUGCCUUGAAACACCAUGAUAAUAAUACCAAAAAGCAGUUUGCAGAACUGUUCACUGUAGAGGCUUCCUCUGCAGAAGCAAGCAAGAUGGCUACCUCGUGGGCUUCGCUGUGAAGAAUGCAGAGGCUAAUUAAGACAGACUUUAAGGGGAAGAAAGGGUUAUAAAGGAAAACAAGAGGCCCAAGAGGGAAAAGAAGCCCAAAGUUUUAAAGUUUUAGCAUUCAAAGAGGAACAGCAUGUUGGACUAUGAGUAUGGCAGAUUUUCAUUUCAUUCGUUUUCCAGUGUGCAUCUUGAAAAUGUUAUUGGCACGGAGAACCACAUCUUGCAUUGCUUUCUAAUUCUGUCUGAUCACCUCGAGUUUCUGUUUCCUGUGCGUACACAGCUUUGCCACGUACAUUUUUCAUCAACCAACAAGUAUUUAUUUAAUAUUUACCAUACAGUCACCUGUGUCCUAGGCAUGAUGAAUGAAUGAAAUUGCUUGGCACAAAUUCUCAGUUGGCCUGAACAAAUAGAAUACUGAUUAUUUUCAAAGUAAACCCUCUUCUGUGUGUGUUUUUUUUUUAAUUUUUUUACCCCUGCAUAUUGACCCACCCACCCCACCUAUAUAAGUACAUAAUGAAAAGCCCUUCUUAGGUGUUUUGUCUUAAGGUCUUCAAGGGAGAAAUAGUUUUAGCCCUACUGUUAAUAAGUGGCUUUGAAAUUGGUGGGAGGCAAGGGUGAGGCCAGAGGAUAGAGGGAGAAACUAUACGGGCAGACUAAUAUAGACUAAGCUUGGUAGCUUAAGUUACCCACGUUUGCUAGGAAGUAGACUUGGGGUAUGGUAGUACUAUUUAAUUCUGUGUUUGUUUUGUCAGUGUGUGGG
Myotis myotis is the source of this 972-nucleotide long non-coding RNA. RefSeq lists it as uncharacterized. The transcript has 3 exons. NCBI's taxonomy places the organism in Eukaryota, Metazoa, Chordata, Mammalia, Chiroptera, Vespertilionidae. The record is from RefSeq and is a predicted model, not a curated record.